AUCUUUUGACCUUUUUUUUUAUUGUUUUUAAUUAAUUUGAGAAAGAAGAUUCGAACAUGAUUCGAAGUUAGUUGUUAGAAAACCAACAUAAAGAUCUAAAAGCAUUGAUCAUAAAUAUAUUCAUCAAUGUAUUGCAUUCGGUUGGGGUUGAUUGAGUUUAAAUAUCAUCUUGUGUUUAUGCAUUCAAAAUUUCGAGAAUAACAGUAACAUUACAGGGAGGUUAUCGAACCUCCGAUGCAUUUUUAAUUUAAUUAAGUCAAUCAUCACAUGUAUUUUCAGUAGUAGCCACAACAAGAAUCAAAGAGAAUGUCACCGGAGUUGGAGGACAUCA
RNAcentral lists this long non-coding RNA (331 nucleotides) under Malus domestica (apple). RNAcentral describes it as "long non-coding RNA (MDOM_LNC002543)". The record is from RNAcentral. Lineage: Eukaryota; Viridiplantae; Streptophyta; Magnoliopsida; Rosales; Rosaceae.